UAUUAUAUUGGAAGCGUUGAACUACAUACUUAAUUGGGCACUUUGUAUGUAGGAAGCAGCUAGUGCAACCGGCCAAAUAUUG
RNAcentral lists this non-coding RNA (82 nucleotides) under Clostridium carboxidivorans. RNAcentral's name for it is "c-di-GMP-II sequence". It matches the Rfam family "Cyclic di-GMP-II riboswitch aptamer". The record is from RNAcentral. Lineage: Bacteria; Bacillati; Bacillota; Clostridia; Eubacteriales; Clostridiaceae. RNAcentral also lists the same sequence under 1 other name.